Non-coding RNA from Pelobates cultripes (western spadefoot toad), 251 nucleotides. NCBI's taxonomy places the organism in Eukaryota, Metazoa, Chordata, Amphibia, Anura, Pelobatidae. The record is from the annotation of a GenBank genome assembly.
CCUGACUGUUACUGUCCCAGUACACACUGGGGGGACUAGGGUCAGUUAUCAUUAACCUGACUCUUACUGCCCCAGAACACACUGGGGGUAUUAGGGGCAGUUAUUAUUACCGUGGUGGUAUUAGGGGCAGUUAUUAUACUCUGACUGUAACUGCCCCAGCACACACUAGAGGUAUUAGGGGCAAUUAUUAUUAUUAUGGGGCUAUUAGGGGCAGUUAUUAUUACCCUGACUGUUACUGCCCCAGCACACAC